UAUUUAAACUUUAAUAUGAUUCUGAAGAAUGAAAGAUGACAAUAUUUUAUAAAAUUUACAUGGAUACAUAAUUAGACAGGAUAUACAGGUAGGAAAAGGAACAUUAAGAGAUAUAAGAUCAUUCAGGAAUGAGGAGCGGUCGUAUAGAGAACAUGAAAAGAAAAUGUGAUCUAGAUCACAUUUAUCGGAUUCACAUUCACACAUGUCAGUAGAUACAAUGCCUAAUCUAUUAAGAUGAACAGGAGUGCAAACAUGACCCAAACGCAUUCUUAUGAUAGAAGAACAUACUAACUUAUUGCAUUUGGCACGGAAAAACCAUGGUUUAAAUAUUUCCUGCCUUUUGAUUGACCAGUUUCAGUCCAAAGCCUAUUCCAACAAUCCUGAAGGUGAACUAUAGGAAGAGCACCUAGAUCCUGGCAAAAAACUUUAUAAGGGAAAAUGUCGCCAUCGACCACGGCUUCAUUAGCUAGUUGGUCUGCUUUUAUAUUACCAGGAAUGUCGCUAUGGCUGGGGAUCCAUACAAACAACACAGAAAGACCAAAGUGAUUGCAUUUAUUUAAUAGAUUUCUUAAUUCUAUGACAACAGAAGAAAUGUUUUUUGAUUUAAAUGGGAACCUAUUGAGAGACUGUAAGGCACUUUUUGAAUCAGAGAAAAUUAUUGUUUUUGGAAGUUUAAAUUGAAUAAUAUAUUCAAUAGUCUUAAAAAUACCAUAACAUUCCCCAGUAAACACCGAUGUUUCCGGAGGUAGUUUAAUUUUCUGUGAUAUUUUAAAUUGAGCGUGAUAGACACCUACACCAACGGGAUCCGAGGAGGAAUGUUUAGACGCGUCUGUGUAAAUAUGAUGGUAAUCAACCCAAACAGUAUUUUAAAGAAGAUUAAACGAAAAAUUUGUACUAAUAUCGUGCUUAUUUAAAUCUGAGUUAAAAUUAAUUUCUGGAAGCAACAUUAAUGCUUCAAAGCUAGUACUGAAAAGAGGAUAAUUAAUGGAUCGAUGAAUAGGAGCUUUUAUGUUGAUAAAUUUCUUAAAACUAUUGAUUAGACAAGGUGGUUUUUUAUUUGACCAAUAUGCAGAUGAAUCUAUAUGAGAAAGUUUCUGAAGUUUGUUAUAAAGAGAGUGGUUAUGAAACUGAAAAGAUCGGAAUAUAAAUUUGUCUGCUAAAUAUUAACGACGUAGAUGUAGUGGAGGAUCACCACAUUCUACUUGAAGAGCAUUGAUAGGACUUGACCGCAUAGCACCAGAAACUACUCGUAAAGCUUUGGACUGUAUGAGAUCUAGUUUUUUAAAUGCCUUAACACUACCAGGCUCCAGCAAGAAUGUACCAUAAUCUAAUAUACUUCUUAUAAGAGCAUUAUAUAACAAUUUCAUGCAAAAAGGGUGCGCACCCCACCAAACACCUGACAGACAUCUUAAAAUAUUAAGAGUACGCUCACAUUUAGCAUUUAGGUAAUCACAAUGUGGGAUACCAGUUAGUUUCGAAUCUAAGACAAUUCCCAAAUACUUAACAUUAUCUUUAACUGGAAUCUGAUAACCCUCAUAAAAUAUAGAAAUAGGAGGAGGAGUUCUUGAUCUCGUGAAUAAAACUAUUGUACUUUUUUCAGGUGAUAGAUCAAGGCCAUUUAAGUCCAACCAAGUUUUUAAAUUUAUCAGCGGUUGUGUUAUAGAAGAACUAGCUUUUUCAAUAGAAAUAUCACGACAGUAAAUUAAUAGAUCAUCAGCAUAAUGAAGAACAUUUACACUAUUAAGUGAUGAUUUUAAAUCGUGUGUAUAAAUAUUAUACAAUAUUGGGCUAAGUACUGAUCCCUGGGGGAGGCCCUUUGAAACAAGUCGAGUAAUUGACUUCCUGUCAUCUAGUUUCAGGAUUAUGUAUCUUUCGGAAAGCAUGUUUAUGAUAAAAUUUGUUAAUAGCAGAGGUAUAUUAAGUUGUAAAAGCUUACUCUUUAAAAUACUUAUUACGACAUUAUCAUAGGCACAAUUUAUAUCUAAGAACGCAGCUAUUACUGAUUUAUUAUUUGAAAAUGAUAAUUGAAUAUCAGAAAUGAAUAUACUUAAGCUAUCAAUAGUACUUUUCCCACGUCUGAAACCGAAUUGGGAUUCACAUAAUAGACCGUUAUGCUCAACAAACCAUUCUAAACGAUUUUUUAUAAGAUGUUCUGUAAUUUUCAUCAAAACAGAAGAAAGUGCGAUUGGGCGAUAGGCAGAAUGGUCUGCAGAACACCUAUUAGGUUUCAGUACGGGAAUUAUUUCUUGACGUUUCCACGUGGAGGGGAUGUUACCAGAUGUCACUAUGGAAUUUAUAAGAGAUAAAUAAUAAAAUAAAGCAUCAUCAUCUAAAUGAGAGAUAAAGGAAUACGGAAUACCGUCCAGUCCAGGAGCAGAAUCCUUAACAUGAGACAAUACUUUUAAUUUAGUUCAGUGAGAGAAAAUAUACUGUUUAAACCAAAACAGUUAUCAUUAUUUAUAUUUAUUACAGGGAAACCAAUUAUUAAGUCUUCAGGAACGAAAGGUGGAGCCAAUUUAUCUAAAAAGCUAUUAACUAAAUGAAAAGAGAUUGAUUUUGGAGAUGAAUCUUUGUAUGCAGAUCUAAACCUUCUUAUAUUUUGCCAUACAAGAGAUGGUUUGACAUCAGCAUAUUUUCUUCUCUUUACUGCCUCAGUACAUUCGUUAUCCCACCAAGGAGGAGAAGGAAUAAAACCCAAAGAGCUAUUUUUACUUGGAAAUAUCUCAUUGGCAACCUCAAUAAAGAUUCUUGCUAAAGAAUCUGCACACUGAGAUUCUGUACCUGGAUUAAUUUUUGGAAGUGUAAUAAUUUUGUUUUUUAUUAGAUCUUUAUAUAAAUCCCAAUCAACAUCAUUAAGCUUAUAUUUUAAACGAGGAGAAUAAGUUUUAUGUAAUACUUUAUUGUUAUUAUUGCAGGUUGGAAAUGAUAAUAAUAGUGGGAAGUGAUCACUACCAAAAGUAGAUCGUAAUGGAUCCCAGGACAAAGAAGAAGCAAGAUUAGGUGUAGUGACUGUUAAAUCUGGAGCACUUGGGCCCUCGUCAGGAUGAGAACGUCGUGUAGGACGACCAUCAUUUAAUAUACACAAAUUCACUGAAUCAGAUAUAUCUAUUAAUGUGUUACCAUAACUAUUAGAAGAUAAGUAACCCCAGGAUUCAUGGCGACAGUUAAAAUCACCAAGGAUCAUAAAAGGCUUCGGAAGAAUGGAAAUAAUAUCUUUGAUUUCAUUUAAGAUUGCAGAAGAAGGAUGAGGUAUAUAAAUAGAUACAUAACAGAUAUUUUCAACUAAAGCAGCAAUAAUAGAAAAAUCAUUACUGUGAGAAGGAAUAGAGAAGAGAGAAAAGGAAAGUGGGUGUUUCACAAGCAUGGCUACUCCGCCAUGCCCAUCCACACGAUCUUCUCUGAGACAUGAAUAACCUCGAAUCUUAAAUAAAGAUCCUGGUUUCAACCAUGUCUCUUGAAGAGCACAGAUAUAAGGUUUAUAUUUAUUUAAUAAAUAAAUAAGAUCACUUUUUUUAGGAGUGAUGCUUUGACAAUUCCAUUGAAGAACUUUGUCCAUUAUUUGGUUUAUAAAUUUGAGUAAUUGCAGAAACUAAUAAGGCAGCGUUGGAUGGUGAAAAUUCAUUCGAUUGACUAAGAGAUUUUAUAAGAGAAAUAAUUAAAUCAAUUACUGAGGAUUCCAAA
Molecule: long non-coding RNA, 3681 nt
Organism: Leptidea sinapis
Lineage: Eukaryota; Metazoa; Arthropoda; Insecta; Lepidoptera; Pieridae
Exons: 2
Source: RefSeq, a predicted model, not a curated record